Molecule: ribosomal RNA, 466 nt
Filed under: uncultured bacterium
Lineage: Bacteria
Description: partial 16S ribosomal RNA
Rfam family: Bacterial small subunit ribosomal RNA
Source: RNAcentral
GACGAACGCUGGCGGCGUGCUUAACACAUGCAAGUCGAACGGAAAGGCCUCUUUCGGGGGGUACUCGAGUGGCGAACGGGUGAGUAACACGUGAGUAACCUGCCCUUGACUUUGGGAUAACUUCAGGAAACUGGGGCUAAUACCGGAUAGGAGCUCCUGCUGCACGGUGGGGGUUGGAAAGUUUCGGCGGUUGGGGAUGGACUCGCGGCUUAUCCGCUUGUUGGUGGGGUAGUGGCUUACCAAGGCUUUGACGGGUAGCCGGCCUGAGAGGGUGACCGGCCACAUUGGGACUGAGAUACGACCCAGACUCCUACGGGAGGCAGCAGUGGGGAAUAUUGCACAAUGGGUGGAAGCCUGAUGCAGCAACGCCGUGUGCGGGAUGACGGCCUUCGGGUUGUAAACCGCUUUCGCUCAUGACGAAGCUUUGUGUGACGGUAGUGGGUAAAGAAGCACCGGCUAACUACGU